Molecule: transfer RNA, 96 nt
Filed under: Culex quinquefasciatus (southern house mosquito)
Lineage: Eukaryota; Metazoa; Arthropoda; Insecta; Diptera; Culicidae
Rfam family: tRNA
About the family: Transfer RNA (tRNA) molecules are approximately 80 nucleotides in length. Their secondary structure includes four short double-helical elements and three loops (D, anti-codon, and T loops). Further hydrogen bonds mediate the characteristic L-shaped molecular structure. tRNAs have two regions of fundamental functional importance: the anti-codon, which is responsible for specific mRNA codon recognition, and the 3' end, to which the tRNAs corresponding amino acid is attached (by aminoacyl-tRNA synthetases). tRNAs cope with the degeneracy of the genetic code in two manners: having more than one tRNA (with a specific anti-codon) for a particular amino acid; and 'wobble' base-pairing, i.e. permitting non-standard base-pairing at the 3rd anti-codon position.
Source: Rfam by way of RNAcentral
CCUUCGAUAGCUCAGUUGGUAGAGCGGUGGACUGUAGAGUUUGAGAGGUUUCGAGCAGUAAUCCAUAGGUCGCUGGUUCAAAUCCGGCUCGAAGGA